Molecule: long non-coding RNA, 5749 nt
Organism: Homo sapiens (human)
Lineage: Eukaryota; Metazoa; Chordata; Mammalia; Primates; Hominidae
Exons: 2
Source: RefSeq, a predicted model, not a curated record
GAAAGAACUUUUUCCAUCAAUUUGAAAAGUAAAGUAAAAGACAGAAAGAAACAGAGAGAUUAAAUGUUUUUCCCUUAUUUUGUAUAUUGUGGGCAGUGCCAUUUAUCUUAGCUAUGUUAAUAAACACUGGAUUUUCAGAAGGUUUAUGCUUCAUCCUUGCUUUAUGCUGUAAUGUAGCCACACAGAAUGUCUCUUUAUGUUGACUGAAGUUAAUAUAUGCAUCUUACCUUUUAAUAUUGCAUCAACUAUAGUCAUAGUGGUGGAAAAUAAUAAUGCUCUGUGUUCUGCACUAUGGUGGAUGUUUUAUAAACAGUAUCUGCAAUUAUUACAAACUCCUAUUAGAGAGCUAUGUCUAACCUUAUUUUACAUGUAAGACAUAGAAAUUCGAAGUUCCCAGAAUCAGUGAGUAGUAGAUUUGAACUGAGUUUUAACACAACUCUAAAGCCCAAGCCUGGCCUCCUUCCGCUGCGCAAUUCUCCUCCAGAGGGAAAGGCUAGCACCAUCCCUAAGAGGGGCCGAAAGUCUUCUAAGGGCACCUGAACCAUUGUGAAGAAUUGUGUUAAUAACCCAGUAAUUCACACUUGUUCAAAUUUUCAGACAUUUCCUGGGAUGCAGUCAAAACUUUUAGGAGUCUGAAGCCUGAGGCUGCCUGCUCUCUGCUGCUGAUUAUAGAGCUCUCUAGUUGAUGAGUGGUGUCCUGGAGCUCCCUGGCCAUACAUACACAGUGCUCAUGGGUCGACUGUAUGGCACCAGCCUCUGCUGCUCUACCCUUUUCAGCCUUUUUUUCUGGAAUGCAUGCUGAGGUCCUCCUUGUGCCUUUGAAAUUUUUAUGAAGAGGGUGAUUAUUUUUGGUACAGCAAAAUAUGUAGAAUUUGCACUUCUUAGGAAUUAAACAUCUCAAUUUUUUUCCCCCAGAGAAAAUAACUCUUGAGCAAGGGAACACUCAUCUCACCGCUCAGACUUUGAGGUGGCCCUACAUGUAUACAAGUUUGGGGGAACAUGAGAAUUCCAAUUAAAUUCUGGGAAAUCCAGACAUAUAUUCAACAAGUAUUUAUUAUGUGCCAGGCGUUAUUUUGAGUGCUAGAAAUAUAAUGGCAAAUAAAACGAAAAGAACCCUGAUCCUGAUGGAGUGUGCGUCUAAUGAGAAAAAUAUACAAUAAGGACAUAAGCAAAUAAAUUCAUAAUAUAGCAUCAGAGGCGAUAAACAGUAGAAGGAAAAGUACGUCAGUGUAAGGCACAGAGAGCUCCCGGGGGCAGAGUGUUUUCAUUAGGUGGUCAGAGAAUAUCUUGUUUUUUUGUGAGCAGCUUCAGCCAAAGUAAGUAAUCAAGAAUUAUACUUGAAACGAUUGGUUUCCAGAUGUUAAGUAUAACAAAUAUUAAAAUUCCUCGGUCUAACACCCUACUCAUCUUCCAGCUGCUUUAAUUAGAGUAGUUUCUAUUUGUUCUACAAAUAGGGCUUCCUUGUAAAAUUUUCUUUGGAGAUGGGUUUCAUAUCUGAGAGCACUGCCUCAGACCAAAUAAAUAUUAACACAGGAGGAAGCUGAGCGUCAAAGGGAAGCAGUAACUUGGCCAAGGAUGCCAGUGCUCCCAGUGGCCAAGGGAAACCCAGGCUGCGGUCCUCUCUGUCCAAGCUCUGUCCUCGGCCCUCAGGUCCUGGCCUCCAGCACUGAGAGCAACACAGAGUGCCUGUGAGGCGGUCUAACUUCUGCUGACUGGUGAAGGUGGAUCCCCCAGCCCCAGGAAAAGUCAACCAGCAGCUUGAACAGCGCUUCCCUCGCGGAGGCUCAGCACUCAGCUCAUCCCCCGCCAUCGGGCUGUAAUUCAGGUGCCAGCGUUGCUCCUCCAGCAGGAACAUAAGCCCAAACUUAACAAAUUCCUAAAGCAGAACAAAGAAAGUGUCAGAGGGGAAUGGGCACGGAGCCUGUGGACCGCACUAGAAUCUUCUAAUUCUUAGGAAUGCAGAUCGCCCUGUGUAAGGGGCCGCUCAGAGCGCCCGAGGAGCGCCGGUGGCCUCCCUUGGAUGCUUCGCUAUUCAUCCCACCUUCUGGAAGAGGCUAUUCUUUUGUGGCUGUCUUGGUGUUUGGCUGAGUUGUUAUUGAAUUCCUCCCUGACUUCUUUUUUUUUUCCUUCGGAAGACAGAAGAAAAGAAGCCGGCAGUGGAAGUCUUCUCUGGGAAGCCUCCUCCUCCUGCAUCUGGCUGCUCCCUUUGGGGCAGCCUGGUCCGCCUCUCUGGGCGCCAGGUGCGUCUGCAGCGCUCUCCUGGAGGCCGGCUGCAGGUUCAUUAGUGCUCACAAUAGGCACGCAGCGCAGGGGAAUAUGUAAAGAAAGUGGAGGACAUCGGAGUGGCAUUCAAAGCGGCAGGCGGGAGUAGGAGUUUCCCUAGCUUUUCUUCCUUUGUUUCUAAUCACCUUUUCUGUUUCUUCAGAGAGGAUGCUAAUAGAGUGAAUACCUGGGCGUUCCAGGAGAAGAGUUAGUGGAGGUUUCAGAAAAGGAAAUGCAAUCUGGGACGAAAAAUAGCUUUUCUUCCCCUUGGGGUGUGUGUGUGUAGUGUCUGAAUGCUUUGCCACCGAUGAGGCCGAGGACUAAAAGCAGGAUAAAGGCUGUGAUUGGCACAGAAGACCCCUGGUGAAAUUUCUGGCUCAGGUACUAGCUUUCUGUGAGUCCUGUGCAAUUCGGCACAGCCCUUGGGGCUUUGAGUCCUUUUUUUUUUUUUUUUUUUAAUAAAAUAAGAGACUUGGCUAAUAGGAUUUCUAGCCUACCACUCCUUUACAGUUUUAAGAUAUCAUUUUAAAAAGUUACAUUUCAAGACUGUAGUAAGGAGGUGACAUUAUAUACUUAAACAUAAAAAUGUGGAGUGAUUUGAAGAGCACUGAAAUUAUUCCACUCUUCAAAGUAUAUGCAUUUAUGUAUACAUACAUGUACAUACACGUGUACAUAAACAAACAUAUACAUAUAGUCAUUUUCAGAUGCCUGAAAUUCUGUCCUUAAAGACAGUUGUGAAUCCCAGUUCUAUUAGUAUUUGACUGUGACCCUCUUAGUUUUGCCUACUGUCUGCAAGACUCAAUUUUUCUUUUUUUCCUCAUAAUGGGAAUAAAUAUUGUCUGUCUUCUAACUGUGUUAUGAUAUUUAAAUGAGGAAAUGUGUUGAAUGGUAGUUCUUCUUGUCUGAAAGAUAAGAAUACAUGGGUGCCAUCAUCCAAUCUCAAAGUCAUUGGGUUUUGACAGAAAUGGUAUGAUGGGUAAUUAUCCCAUUUCUCCAAAGUCAUUAGGAACCUGAAGUAAUUUUUUUAAACUUGUUUUUCAUGCACCUGUGUUGGCUAGAUCACAGAGCCUGGGCCCAUCCUCUUGAGGAAAUAUUAUCUGCGUCAACCUUCCUCAAUGCCUCCUGGAUGACUUUACCACCAUCUUGCAAAUGUCUAUUAUUUGUUAGCUCUAGAAGACUCAGAGCAAUGAUUGCACCAAUCUGAAGGUUAUUUCUUCCAUGCUGGUCUUCUGCCAUUGGUGAUAUUACAGAUGUUUGUCCAGAACAUUACUGAUGACAGCUACACACCUGGAAAAUAAAGUUUCUUGUUUGUUCCUUCCAAAUUAAUUUUCUGAAUGAACACCAGCAACUCAAAAUGCAUUCAGUUUCAGAAUUCAAAGAACAGAAGAGCAAAUUUGAGGGACACUCUGGCACAGUAGAGGGAAAGUGCUGCAGAGCAGAGAAGCAAUUCUCAACAAGACAAAGCUACUAUAAUAGCGACUUGUGGAGUCACGUUAAGAAGAAAAUAGGCAGAGAAGUGGACUCUUGACGGGAGUCUCAUCCAUCAUUUCCUCUCUGUGCAACCUCAGGCAGGGUACAUAAUCGAUCUAACUUUUAGUUUUCUCUUAUGUAAUCUGGAGAUAAUAACAUAUAUUUUAUAUAAUUAUUGUGAGUAUUAAAUACCAAAACCCCUUUAUGUCACAUGUUUAGCAUAGUGUCUAUAUCACAGUAUGUGCGUCAUAUGAAACUCAGUGCUUUGUACCCGCUGAUUCCUGGUGAAUGAAAUACGGUCACACAUCACAAUGACUGUCUGCUGAAAUGCCAAAAUCCUGCCUGUAGUUCAGGAACCAGAGUAAAGGAAAAUGAACCCUGUAGUGUUUUUACUUUUUCUCUCUUUUUAGAGAAAGAUCAUUUGCAUGUGGCUCCACCUUAAUAAUUGCAUUUGUAAUGCUUUCAUGUUGUCACAUGGUCUAACCCCCAGGAUCUUAUCUUAAUAAAAAUUCAGUUAAACAUGUGUUCAAAUUGGCCAGAUCAGCCAAAUCUGGAACAGGGAAAGUUGUUUUCCUCCUAAUGAACUGUCCCCUGGACACGGGCAGUGCCACAGAAGUUCAGGAAUAUUUAUUGUCCAUGGCAUUUCCAGGAGUUACACUCUUUGUUGAACCCUUCCAUCGUGCCAGGGGGAGGCUGGUGAUUCAUUAAUUCACUGUGAUGAUUUGUCCUAAUUAUUCUAAUUACUGCCUUGUCUCCUCAGACCAGCUGGUGCCUAAAGCAGAGGGAAAGUCACCAGUCAUGAGGACUGCGGUGGUGGCUGCAGAAUCCCGGGCACUGGAUCUGUAGGAUUCACUGUCACCACAUCAAAAAAGCUUUGCUGCUGCUGCUGCUGCUGCUGCUGCUGCUGCUGUUGCUGCUGCUGCUGCUGUUGCUGCUGCUGCUGCUGCUGCUGCUGAGCCCAACUUAUCCUUGGUGCUGCUCUGGCCUGAGUCCGGGUUCCCGGGGCCCUGCCAUGCAUGCAUUCUCUCCUCUGCUCCUCUUGUACCUUUUCAGGGAGAGAAGAGCCCUGAUACAGGUUGCUUUUCUGUCUUCCCAGCUUGCUGCCCCACCAAUUCCAGACAGCAUCUGCUGUGUGUUCUUUGUGCACCCAUCCCUGUCUGAACGUAUCUUAAACCCAGUCUGGUUUCUAACAACUGUCGAUAAUAAAAAUAUCUAUUUCUUACUGCACACUAUCAAGUGCCAAGAUGGAUGUUCAUUGCCAUAUGUGCACUGUCUCUAAGUGCUACAGUUUGCAGUCUUAGUUCAUAUAUUAAGGCUCUGCAUGACCUAGAGACUAGUUUACAUUGCCCAGCAAGGGAGUAACACAUGGAACUGAAUCCCAGAUUGCUGCAUCCCCAAAGUCGGGGGGCCCUUUAUGCGUCUCUCUUUUCCCCUCCCACAAGCCUUCCUGGUCAUCUACAGGACUCCUGCUGAAACCUUCCUUCGGUCUUUUAUCCCUGAGCUCCUUUGCUGUGAUAACAUAGACUGUUCUGUCUGGCAGCCCUGGGCAGUCAUCAGUGUUGGCUUUGCAGGUCAGCUUGGGGUCCCCAACCAGGAUUCCUGAGGCCACAGAAUCUUGCUGCAAACACAGCUAGUCUUGGAGAACUCAUAUCUGUGCCUUUCUGAUGUGCUGUAUCACCCCAGCCUGCCCUGUGUUUCUUUGGGAUAUUUUCACAGCUCAUACUUCAGUGGUAUUUGCCUCUUAAGUCACUUACCCCUUAUUACUCUGAACAAAACUGGAAUCCGAAAAAAACAAAAACAAAAACAAACAAACAAAAAACACUGGAACUGUGGCUCAUCUCUCAGGGAAUGAGCUGACACUUAGUAGAAUCUAUGACAUGAGGGCUAUGUUAGAGACCCUGAAAUGAAGCUGGGUGAAAAAUAUCAAGGUGUUGUGAGUGACAAAGAUGAUAUUCCAAAGAUUCAACUGAGAAAGAGUCAGUGUAUCUUAUUAUUAAAAUUGCUUCUGUAAGAGUCA